RNAcentral lists this ribosomal RNA (429 nucleotides) under Verrucomicrobiota bacterium. RNAcentral's name for it is "Verrucomicrobia bacterium partial 16S ribosomal RNA". It matches the Rfam family "Bacterial small subunit ribosomal RNA", at positions 355 to 776 of the family's 1533-position model. The record is from RNAcentral. Lineage: Bacteria; Pseudomonadati; Verrucomicrobiota.
UAGGGAAUCUUCCGCAAUGGACGAAAGUCUGACGGAGCAACGCCGCGUGAGUGAAGAAGGAUUUCGGUUCGUAAAACUCUGUUGUUAGGGAAGAAAAAAUGUAUAGUAACUAUAUACAAAAGAGACGGUACCUAACCAGAAACCCACGGCUAACUACGUGCCAGCAGCCGCGGUAAUACGUAGGUGGCAAGCGUUGUCCGGAAUUAUUGGGCGUAAAGCGCGCGCAGGUGGUUUAGAAAGUCUGAUGUGAAAGCCCACGGCUCAACCGUGGAGGGUCAUUGGAAACUAAUAAACUUGAGUGCAGGAGAGAAAAGUGGAAUUCCUAGUGUAGCGGUGAAAUGCGUAGAGAUUAGGAGGAACACCGGUGGCGAAAGCGGCUUUUUGGCCUGCAACUGACACUGAGGCGCGAAAGCGUGGGGAGCAAACAGG